This 1435-nucleotide ribosomal RNA is filed under the name Mammaliicoccus sciuri. RNAcentral's name for it is "bacterial SSU rRNA". It matches the Rfam family "Bacterial small subunit ribosomal RNA". Lineage: Bacteria; Bacillati; Bacillota; Bacilli; Caryophanales; Staphylococcaceae. The record is from RNAcentral.
CCAAUACAUGCAAGUCGAGCGAACAGAUGAGAAGCUUGCUUCUCUGAUGUUAGCGGCGGACGGGUGAGUAACACGUGGGUAACCUACCUAUAAGACUGGGAUAACUCCGGGAAACCGGGGCUAAUACCGGAUAAUAUUUUGAACCGCAUGGUUCAAUAGUGAAAGACGGUUUCGGCUGUCACUUAUAGAUGGACCCGCGCCGUAUUAGCUAGUUGGUAAGGUAACGGCUUACCAAGGCGACGAUACGUAGCCGACCUGAGAGGGUGAUCGGCCACACUGGAACUGAGACACGGUCCAGACUCCUACGGGAGGCAGCAGUAGGGAAUCUUCCGCAAUGGGCGAAAGCCUGACGGAGCAACGCCGCGUGAGUGAUGAAGGUCUUCGGAUCGUAAAACUCUGUUGUUAGGGAAGAACAAAUUUGUUAGUAACUGAACAAGUCUUGACGGUACCUAACCAGAAAGCCACGGCUAACUACGUGCCAGCAGCCGCGGUAAUACGUAGGUGGCAAGCGUUAUCCGGAAUUAUUGGGCGUAAAGCGCGCGUAGGCGGUUUCUUAAGUCUGAUGUGAAAGCCCACGGCUCAACCGUGGAGGGUCAUUGGAAACUGGGAAACUUGAGUGCAGAAGAGGAGAGUGGAAUUCCAUGUGUAGCGGUGAAAUGCGCAGAGAUAUGGAGGAACACCAGUGGCGAAGGCGGCUCUCUGGUCUGUAACUGACGCUGAUGUGCGAAAGCGUGGGGAUCAAACAGGAUUAGAUACCCUGGUAGUCCACGCCGUAAACGAUGAGUGCUAAGUGUUAGGGGGUUUCCGCCCCUUAGUGCUGCAGCUAACGCAUUAAGCACUCCGCCUGGGGAGUACGACCGCAAGGUUGAAACUCAAAGGAAUUGACGGGGACCCGCACAAGCGGUGGAGCAUGUGGUUUAAUUCGAAGCAACGCGAAGAACCUUACCAAAUCUUGACAUCCUUUGACCGCUCUAGAGAUAGAGUCUUCCCCUUCGGGGGACAAAGUGACAGGUGGUGCAUGGUUGUCGUCAGCUCGUGUCGUGAGAUGUUGGGUUAAGUCCCGCAACGAGCGCAACCCUUAAGCUUAGUUGCCAUCAUUAAGUUGGGCACUCUAGGUUGACUGCCGGUGACAAACCGGAGGAAGGUGGGGAUGACGUCAAAUCAUCAUGCCCCUUAUGAUUUGGGCUACACACGUGCUACAAUGGAUAAUACAAAGGGCAGCGAAUCCGCGAGGCCAAGCAAAUCCCAUAAAAUUAUUCUCAGUUCGGAUUGUAGUCUGCAACUCGACUACAUGAAGCUGGAAUCGCUAGUAAUCGUAGAUCAGCAUGCUACGGUGAAUACGUUCCCGGGUCUUGUACACACCGCCCGUCACACCACGAGAGUUUGUAACACCCGAAGCCGGUGGAGUAACCUUUUAGGAGCUAGCCCUUAAAGU